AUUGAACGCUGGCGGCAUGCUUUACACAUGCAAGUCGAACGGCAGCGCGGGCUUCGGCCUGGCGGCGAGUGGCGAACGGGUGAGUAAUGCAUCGGAACGUGCCCAGUAGUGGGGGAUAGCCCGGCGAAAGCCGGAUUAAUACCGCAUACGACCUGAGGGUGAAAGCGGGGGACCGAAAGGCCUCGCGCUAUUGGAGCGGCCGAUGUCGGAUUAGCUAGUUGGUGGGGUAAAGGCUUACCAAGGCGACGAUCCGUAGCUGGUCUGAGAGGACGACCAGCCACACUGGGACUGAGGCACGGCCCAGACUCCUACGGGAGGCAGCAGUGGGGAAUUUUGGACAAUGGAGGCAACCCUGAUCCAGCCAUGCCGCGUGCGGGAAGAAGGCCUUCGGGGUGUAAACCGCUUUUGUUCGGGAAGAAAUCCUCUGGGCUAAUACCCCGGGGGGAUGACGGUACCGGAAGAAUAAGCACCGGCUAACUACGUG
RNAcentral lists this ribosomal RNA (484 nucleotides) under uncultured bacterium. Its description in RNAcentral is "partial 16S ribosomal RNA". It matches the Rfam family "Bacterial small subunit ribosomal RNA", at positions 28 to 507 of the family's 1533-position model. The record is from RNAcentral.